Molecule: ribosomal RNA, 253 nt
Filed under: uncultured bacterium
Lineage: Bacteria
Description: partial 16S ribosomal RNA
Rfam family: Bacterial small subunit ribosomal RNA
Source: RNAcentral
UACGUAGGGUCCGAGCGUUAAUCGGAAUUACUGGGCGUAAAGCGUGCGCAGGCGGCUUCGCAAGUCAGGCGUGAAAUCCCCGGGCUUAACCUGGGAAUGGCGUCUGAAACUACGGAGCUGGAGUGUGGCAGAGGGAGGUAGAAUUCCACGUGUAGCGGUGAAAUGCGUAGAUAUGUGGAGGAAUACCGAUGGCGAAGGCAGCCUCCUGGGCCAACACUGACGCUCAUGCACGAAAGCGUGGGGAGCAAACAGG